RNAcentral lists this ribosomal RNA (431 nucleotides) under uncultured bacterium. RNAcentral describes it as "bacterial SSU rRNA". It matches the Rfam family "Bacterial small subunit ribosomal RNA", at positions 29 to 507 of the family's 1533-position model. The record is from RNAcentral.
AACGAACGCUGGCGGCAGGCUUAACACAUGCAAGUCGAGCGCCCCGCAAGGGGAGCGGCAGACGGGUGAGUAACGCGUGGGAAUCUACCCAUCCCUACGGAACAACUCCGGGAAACUGGAGCUAAUACCGUAUACGCCCUUAGGGGGAAAGAUUUAUCGGGGAUGGAUGAGCCCGCGUUGGAUUAGCUAGUUGGUGGGGUAAUGGCCUACCAAGGCAACGAUCCAUAGCUGGUCUGAGAGGAUGAUCAGCCACACUGGGACUGAGACACGGCCCAGACUCCUACGGGAGGCAGCAGUGGGGAAUAUUGGACAAUGGGCGCAAGCCUGAUCCAGCCAUGCCGCGUGAGUGAUGACGGCCCUAGGGUUGUAAAGCUCUUUCACCGGUGAAGAUAAUGACGGUAACCGGAGAAGAAGCCCCGGCUAACUUCGUG